RNAcentral lists this long non-coding RNA (822 nucleotides) under Leptinotarsa decemlineata (Colorado potato beetle). Its description in RNAcentral is "uncharacterized LOC111512212, transcript variant X1". The record is from RNAcentral. Lineage: Eukaryota; Metazoa; Arthropoda; Insecta; Coleoptera; Chrysomelidae.
GACUUGACUCCUUUAAAUAGAAACAUCAAGAUUUUGUAUCAAAGUGAAAGUUUUCUGAUGAAAUAUUAGUAAAUUUGAAUAAAAAUUACACCUACAAAAUUCAAUAGUAAAAGUUUGUCAAAAAUUCAGUCCAUCAAAAAUAUAUCAAGUAUCAUAACGAAAACGAAUAUGAAUCAACAAUGUUAUUUUUCUUAGUGUAGUGCGUAGUGUAAAAUUUUAAUCACUUCCUGUGCCAUUUUUCUCAGUGUAUCAAUUAGUAUCUCAACAAUGCUGUGACGUAUUUCCUCUGAAUAUCUUGUACAACCUACAUCGAAGGUUCCGACAAAUCAUUCGCCUCUGGUAGUUGGCGUACUCUUUGCUUGGUUAUUUUUACUGUGAUUAUACUAUGCGCUGAUCACAAUACAAUAACAAGUACACCAAUCAAUGUUUACUGAUAAUCUGUUGACUCCAAAUGAAAUACAAAUAUUACAACUUCACAAGAAAACUAAUGUUUACUAUCUCAGAAUGAAUGGACAGUGUUGCCAGCAAACCUGCUUCUUUAGAGAAUGAAACCAAUCUUGACUUGAGUUCCUUCGUAGAACAUGGGACAUUCAGCACAAAAUGUUCGAAAGGAUAAUAAAGAUGUUGAAAAAAAAGCGAGGUUGGAUAGAAGAAAAUUAUCUGAAAAUGAACUCCAGUCUUAUAUGGAUAUUGACUUUGAUAAUAAUGAACCUAGAGAUGGACAAGAAACAGGCAUUUCAACACGGACUGAUUUAACAAUGGAAGAACUGGCUACAAAAUUUGAACAACUGACUGAAAAGACUAUCAUAAAUUGUAUGUUGA